GAUGAACGCUGGCGGCGUGCCUAAUACAUGCAAGUCGAGCGAACGGACGAGAAGCUUGCUUCUCUGAUGUUAGCGGCGGACGGGUGAGUAACACGUGGAUAACCUACCUAUAAGACUGGGAUAACUUCGGGAAACCGGAGCUAAUACCGGAUAAUAUUUUGAACCGCAUGGUUCAAAAGUGAAAGACGGUCUUGCUGUCACUUAUAGCUGGAUCCGCGCUGCAUUAGCUAGUUGGUAAGGUAACGGCUUACCAAGGCAACGAUGCAUAGCCGACCUGAGAGGGUGCUCGGCCACACUGGAACUGAGACACGGUCCAGACUCCUACGGGAGGCAGCAGUAGGGAAUCUUCCGCAAUGGGCGAAAGCCUGACGGAGCAACGCCGCGUGAGUGAUGAAGGUCUUCGGAUCGUAAAACUCUGUUAUUAGGGAAGAACAUAUGUGUAAGUAACUGUGCACAUCUUGACGGUACCUAAUCAGAAAGCCACGGCUAACUACGUG
Molecule: ribosomal RNA, 497 nt
Filed under: uncultured bacterium
Lineage: Bacteria
Description: partial 16S ribosomal RNA
Rfam family: Bacterial small subunit ribosomal RNA
Source: RNAcentral